RNAcentral lists this long non-coding RNA (451 nucleotides) under Brassica napus (rape). RNAcentral's name for it is "long non-coding RNA (BNAP_LNC025583)". The record is from RNAcentral. Lineage: Eukaryota; Viridiplantae; Streptophyta; Magnoliopsida; Brassicales; Brassicaceae.
ACUAUGACGAAGCUAGCUUGAGUUUUCGUUCUUCGGUCCUCUACACCUUUUGUUGUGCAAAAUAUUUGUUAAGUGGGGCUCAUAUUUCAUUCGUUAGUGAUAUUUGAUUUUGCAUAUGUCGGUUCCACUAGUUGGAUAAGACCAAUCGCAUCAAUAGGUAUAGUCUAGAUCAAGUGACAUUGGCUCAUAAUUUGGUUAAGAGAUUGUUGAUAUAGAUAUAAGAUUAAAUCAAGGAGUAAAGAAAAUCAAGUGUAGAUUAGUAUAAUAGAGAAAUAGAAAGAAUGGUCCAGGUACAUUUUCUCUUUAUCAUAUCAUAUAACUUUCAUAUAUGGACCGAUUAAAUAUUGAACAUGUGGCCUUGAAACGUAUUGAAGAGUCCUUCUAUCCUUGAAAACAGAAUUACAGUACAUUGUAUUUAUCAUGCGUUCUCCAUCCUGGAUAUGAUUCCCAU